UUCGGUGGCAAUGGCAAAGAGGCAACACCCGUACCCAUCCCGAACACGCAGGUUAAGCUCUUUAGCGCCGAUGGUACUGCUUGGGAAGCUAAGUGGGAGAGUAGGACGCUGCCGGAA
This 117-nucleotide ribosomal RNA is filed under the name Bacteroidota bacterium. Lineage: Bacteria; Pseudomonadati; Bacteroidota. The record is from RNAcentral.